CGAGCUCACGCUUUUCGGGCCUGAAUUUGUAUCGGCAUGCUUGGGGCAGGAGAAGGCGAUUGCUGGUACUAUGAGCAGGUAAAAUUGUGGAGAGCCUUUGGGAUUUAGUAACCAGGCAGGAGCAGGAGAGGGAGCAGCAGUGGCGGCAGAAAGGUAAAAUUGUGAAGAACAUUUGGGAUUUUGAAAGGAGGUGUGGAAUCUCGGA
Panicum hallii is the source of this 205-nucleotide long non-coding RNA. RefSeq lists it as uncharacterized. The transcript is spliced from 3 exons. NCBI's taxonomy places the organism in Eukaryota, Viridiplantae, Streptophyta, Magnoliopsida, Poales, Poaceae. The record is from RefSeq and is a predicted model, not a curated record.